Mustela lutreola (European mink) is the source of this 434-nucleotide long non-coding RNA. RefSeq lists it as uncharacterized. The transcript is spliced from 4 exons. The record is from RefSeq and is a predicted model, not a curated record. NCBI's taxonomy places the organism in Eukaryota, Metazoa, Chordata, Mammalia, Carnivora, Mustelidae.
GGCAAAGACUGUUUUCCGAACAUGCAGAGUUGACAUAGUUCCCAUUAACCACCCUUGAAAUGUGGUCAGUGGAGUGGGGACUCAGAAACAGGACAGUCAAGGACUAGACAGAGAUGGUGUUGAGCUCAUCGCAUCCACCUCCUUUGGAAAAAGCAGAGACACCACAGAUAAUAAAUGCACACGGCAAGAACAAAAUCCCGACAGCAUAAAGAAACAUAUGGUAAAAAUGAAGGGGAUUCAGUUUCCGUCCUUAGUUUUCCAGCACUUCUCAACAAAGCAGGCAAGAAAUCUGUAAAAAUUGACAUGGAGAUUGAAGCAAGCUUUUGAAAAUGAAAAUAGCCAUGAUAUUAAGCUGAAUAAUAUUGGGCUGCUGGAGAAGAAUAAGAAGCAAGGGCUUCCUUUGUCACAGGACAAGAAUGAAAAUACAAAGGGAA